Molecule: ribosomal RNA, 235 nt
Filed under: uncultured bacterium
Lineage: Bacteria
Description: partial 16S ribosomal RNA
Rfam family: Bacterial small subunit ribosomal RNA
Source: RNAcentral
CGGACGAGUGAGUAACGCGUGGGUAACCUGCCUUGUACUGGGGGACAACAGUUAGAAAUGACUGCUAAUACCGCAUAAGCGCACAGUAUCGCAUGAUACAGUGUGAAAAACUCCGGUGGUACAAGAUGGACCCGCGUCUGAUUAGCUAGUUGGUAAGGUAACGGCUUACCAAGGCGACGAUCAGUAGCCGACCUGAGAGGGUGACCGGCCACAUUGGGACUGAGACACGGCCCAA